RNAcentral lists this ribosomal RNA (506 nucleotides) under uncultured bacterium. RNAcentral describes it as "partial 16S ribosomal RNA". It matches the Rfam family "Bacterial small subunit ribosomal RNA", at positions 29 to 523 of the family's 1533-position model. The record is from RNAcentral.
AGUGAACGCUGGCGGUAGGCCUAACACAUGCAAGUCGAACGGCAGCACAGGAGAGCUUGCUCUCUGGGUGGCGAGUGGCGGACGGGUGAGGAAUACAUCGGAAUCUACUCUGUCGUGGGGGAUAACGUAGGGAGACUUACGCUAAUACCGCAUACGACCUACGGGUGAAAGCAGGGGACCUUCCGGCCUUGCGCUAUUGAAUGAGCCGAUGUCGGAUUAGCUAGUUGGCGGGGUAAAGGCCCACCAAGGCGACGAUCCGUAGCUGGUCUGAGAGGAUGAUCAGCCACACUGGAACUGAGACACGGUCCAGACUCCUACGGGAGGCAGCAGUGGGGAAUAUUGGACAAUGGGCGCAAGCCUGAUCCAGCCAUACCGCGUGGGUGAAGAAGGCCUUCGGGUUGUAAAGCCCUUUUGUUGGGAAAGAAAUCCAGCUGGCUAAUACCCGGUUGGGAUGACGGUACCCAAAGAAUAAGCACCGGCUAACUUCGUGCCAGCCGCCGCUGUAA